GGAAGGGUGCUCCGAAUUGGCAAGGAACCGGUCUUGAAAACCGGCGGGCCUUUUAGGCUCUUGUGGGUUCGAGUCCCACCCCUUCCGCCA
Molecule: transfer RNA, 90 nt
Filed under: Candidatus Parcubacteria bacterium
Lineage: Bacteria; Candidatus Parcubacteria
Description: tRNA-Ser
Rfam family: tRNA
About the family: Transfer RNA (tRNA) molecules are approximately 80 nucleotides in length.
Source: RNAcentral